CCUACGGGUGGCAGCAGUGGGGAAUAUUGCACAAUGGGCGGAAGCCUGAUGCAGCGACGCCGCGUGAGCGAUGAAGCCCCUCGGGUCGUAAAGCUCUGUCCUCAAGGAAGAUAAUGACGGUACUUGAGGAAGAAGCCCCGGCUAACUACGUGCCAGCAGCCGCGGUAAUACGUAGGGGGCGAGCGUUAUCCGGAAUUACUGGGCGUAAAGGGGGCGCAGGUGGUUUGUUAAGUCAGAGGUGAAAGGCUAGGGCUCAACCGGAGGAAGCCUUUGAAACUGGGGUGCUGGAGUGCAGGAGGGGAAGGUGGAAUUCCUAGUGUAGCGGUGAAAUGCGUAGAUAUUAGGAGGAACACCAGUGGCGAAGGCGGUCUGCUGGACUGCAACUGACGCUGAGGCGCGAAAGCGUGGGGAGCAAACAGGAUUAGAUACCCGAGUAGUC
Molecule: ribosomal RNA, 439 nt
Filed under: uncultured bacterium
Lineage: Bacteria
Description: partial 16S ribosomal RNA
Rfam family: Bacterial small subunit ribosomal RNA
Source: RNAcentral